This 240-nucleotide unclassified non-coding RNA is filed under the name soil metagenome. RNAcentral describes it as "partial contains 5.8S ribosomal RNA, internal transcribed spacer 2, and large subunit ribosomal RNA". The record is from RNAcentral.
AAGACUAUAGACCUGCGGAGUACCUGCGGAAGGAUCAUUACAGAGUUGCAAAACUCCCAAACCAUUGUGAACGUUACCUUCUCGUUGCUUCGGCGGGCGGCCCGGGUCCUUCCCGGCGCCCCCCGGCCCCUCGCGGGCGCCCGCCGGAGGUAAACCAAACUCUUGAAUUGUAUGGCCUCUCUGAGUCUUCUGUACUGAAUAAGUCAAAACUUUCAACAAUGGAUCUCUAGAUCGGAAGAG